AUUAUGUUAGGAUGUUUGUUACUCCUUCAUGCCAUAAGGACAACCAGUUUGACAGGGAAUUGCGAUAGUUAACACCAUGAACUAUUAAUACAUACAUAGGUUACUUUUCUCGUAGGUAUUUUAUGUAGAACAUUGCAUGUUAAUGACGGACUGCGCCAUCUAUAUAUGAUUUAGUAAAACAUUUGUUUUGUAAACCACAAUUGACGGUUCUCGGAUUUUUCUUUUACUUAUGCCAAAUAUGACUUUAGGUCAUCGGGAAGUACCCUAUAGGUUUUCUUGACAGACACGACGAAUAACAAAGUGAUCCUAUAAGGGUUCCUUAUUUCCUUUUGAGGUAUGGAACCCUAAAAAACGCGUCGUUUCGCUCUACGUCGCUAUGCUUUGAGCCUAAGAUAUCUGUGGAACUAGAUACCGCCUACUGUGUCAAGUGGCGUGACGUGUACUAUACUAUGACGUCAUUCCAUUGAUUUACCAUACCGUGGUAGAGAUAUAGAAAUGUUCGACACUAACGUAAAAUACAUUUUAAUUAAAUCAAAUAUACAAUAUACAAUGCAAAAUGACAGGUUUCGUCAUUAUAUUAUUUACAAUACGUCAUAAUAUAAACACUUUUUAAAUUUGUCAGUUAGUUUUUCUCAUUAGUUGUUAUUUUAACCAUUGUAUUUUGUUUAGCUAAAAACUGUAAACUUACUCCUAAACUUGGUGAUCAGGAAUUGUCAUUACUUAUUAUGAAUUAUGAAAUAUAAUAAUCCACUAUUAUAACUGCCAUUGUAGGCAAGAAGUAAAGGAGGCGGUCCACUUGUGGUGUACUCUUAUACCCUAUACUAUACCGUGAAAAGCGAAAAAAAAAACUGAGGUCAUUGAAAAUAAAAUAAAUUGAAAAUGAUGAUAAGUAACUUCAAGCCAUAGAGAAUGCAGUAGAUUCGGUUCUAUGUCGAAUGUCAUUUCUGACAAGUGACGUGUUAUUUUUUUUCUCAAAACAUGAGUUCGCCCGCCAUUAUUACGUAUUUUAGCUUAAUUAUGUUGAGAGAAUAAAUAAUGUUACCACUAAAAUUACGAUGAGUUCGUGGAUUUGAUCAAUCGAAAAUGGUAUCAUGUUUUAUUUUAUUACUGGUACAAUACCCAACCCACGCACCAUACAAUUUUGGACUGUCUCCUUUCGGAAAUAGUUUACUUUUUGAUCUUGCUAUUAGUUAUCUUCAUUGAAAUGUUAUAUUUAUUUAGAUUAUUAUUGAUCGUUGUUGACACGUUAUUGAUUAGUCCAAUUGCUGAUUAUAUUUAUUGAUUAUUGAGAAAUAAAAUUGUUUUUGUCUAAUUUUAAAACAAUCCAGUUUGGAGUAAGGUGUCAUUCCGUUGGAUUUUCUCGCUUGUUAUUGUACUGCAGUAAUUACUACAUACAGCUAAUUGUAUAUUUUUAUAAACUUCUCUGUAAAUAUUAUUUUGAUUUGUGUUCGUUUCUCUGCGGCCAGAUCUUUGUACAUUAACCUAGGCUAGUGCACGGAAUGUUGAAAUAAUAUUUAUUAUGAGAACA
Maniola jurtina (meadow brown) is the source of this 1528-nucleotide long non-coding RNA. RefSeq lists it as uncharacterized. The transcript is spliced from 2 exons. The record is from RefSeq and is a predicted model, not a curated record. Lineage: Eukaryota; Metazoa; Arthropoda; Insecta; Lepidoptera; Nymphalidae.